GGGUGUCGUUGGGUUGUUGGUCAAACCCGUCAGACUGUAAAUCUGAUGCCAAAAGCUAUCUAGGUUCGAGUCCUAGGGCACCCA
This 84-nucleotide transfer RNA is filed under the name Acinetobacter phage vB_AbaM_CP14. RNAcentral's name for it is "tRNA-Tyr". It matches the Rfam family "tRNA". Rfam says of the family: Transfer RNA (tRNA) molecules are approximately 80 nucleotides in length. Their secondary structure includes four short double-helical elements and three loops (D, anti-codon, and T loops). Lineage: Duplodnaviria; Heunggongvirae; Uroviricota; Caudoviricetes; Luriaviridae. The record is from RNAcentral.